Molecule: ribosomal RNA, 290 nt
Filed under: Gammaproteobacteria bacterium
Lineage: Bacteria; Pseudomonadati; Pseudomonadota; Gammaproteobacteria
Description: partial 16S ribosomal RNA
Rfam family: Bacterial small subunit ribosomal RNA
Source: RNAcentral
UUCAAGUGAAGAGUUUGAUCCUGGCUCAGAUUGAACGCUGGCGGCGUGCCUAACACAUGCAAGUCGAGCGGUAACAGGUGUAGCAAUACAUGCUGACGAGCGGCGAACGGGUGAGUAAUGCUUCGGAAUCUGCCCAAUGGUGGGGAAUAACCAGCCGAAAGGUUGGCUAAUACCGCAUAAGUCCUACGGGAGAAAGCAGGGGAUCGCAAGACCUUGCGCCGAUGGAUGAGCCGAAGCCGGAUUAGCUAGUUGGUAGGGUAACGGCCUACCAAGGCGACGAUCCGUAGCUG